UACGGGGGGGAGCAAGCGUUGUUCGGAUUUACUGGGCGUAAAGGGCGCGUAGGCGGUGUGUCACGUCGGCCGUGAAAACCUGCAGCUUAACUGUGGGCGUGCGGUCGAUACGGGCAUCACUGGAGUUCGGCAGGGGGAGACUGGAAUUCCUGGUGUAGCGGUGAAAUGCGCAGAUAUCAGGAGGAACACCGGUGGCGAAGGCGGGUCUCUGGGCCGUAACUGACACUGAGGGACGAAAGCUAGGGGAGCGAACGGGG
RNAcentral lists this ribosomal RNA (257 nucleotides) under uncultured bacterium. RNAcentral's name for it is "partial 16S ribosomal RNA". It matches the Rfam family "Bacterial small subunit ribosomal RNA", at positions 524 to 777 of the family's 1533-position model. The record is from RNAcentral.